AAUAUUUGACAAUGGGCGCAAGCCUGAUCCAGCAAUGCCGCGUGCGUGAAGAAGGCCUUAGGGUUGUAAAUCGCUUUCACCCGUGCAUAUGAUCACGGUAGCGGGAGUAGAAGCCCAGGCUAACUCCGUGCCAGCAGCCGCGGUAAUACGGAGGGGGCUAGCGAUGUUCGGAAUGACUGGGCGUAAAGGGCGCUUUGGCGGCCCGUCGAGUCGGAUGUGAGAGCCCCGGGCUCAACCCGGGAUGUGCAUUCGAUACUGGCGGGCUCGAGUCCGGGAGAGGAUGGCGGAAUUCCCAGUGUAGAGGUGAAAUUCGUAGAUAUUGGGAAGAACACCGGUGGCGAAGGCGGCCAUCUGGACCGGCACUGACGCUGAGGCGCGAAAGCGUGGGGAGCAAA
RNAcentral lists this ribosomal RNA (395 nucleotides) under uncultured bacterium. RNAcentral describes it as "partial 16S ribosomal RNA". It matches the Rfam family "Bacterial small subunit ribosomal RNA", at positions 360 to 772 of the family's 1533-position model. The record is from RNAcentral.